AAAAAAAAAAAGGAACAUCCGGUGGAAUUUCUGGUGGCACCUGAACAAUCCUGGAAGUGGAACGUCCUCGACAUAGACUACAGUUCAAGUAACCCACAGGCGAUUUUGCGCUGAAACAGGCUUUGACGUGGCCUCCUCUGGAGAAUACAACCUGCCCUGGCUUCACACUGAGUCCUGGUCACAGCUGAAGGGUUACAUCAUGAAUAUUUUGGCAGGAGUAGCUUGGUGACAGGUCCCUUGAAGUGUGAGACUUGAAGGAAGAGUGGUUCUUUUGAAGGCAGGUAGAAGGCGUUGCGGGGCUGAGAGGUGCUGGAAAGGGCAUGUCCAAACAGACUUUAGGCCCUGAGUGAUGGGACACGGGAAAUGGCUUUUGCAAGUUUAUCUCCCAUGGAAGUGGAUACAUUUAGGAGGCAAUGCAUCAUCUUCAAAUGGAGUUUAAAGGCCUCAACUUAUAAGCACUGCUUCUAUCGUGAAACAUGAA
Perca fluviatilis (European perch) is the source of this 481-nucleotide long non-coding RNA. RefSeq lists it as uncharacterized. The record is from RefSeq and is a predicted model, not a curated record. Lineage: Eukaryota; Metazoa; Chordata; Actinopteri; Perciformes; Percidae. The transcript is spliced from 4 exons.